UUCGGCAGUCGUCGGAACCACAUUUUUCGUCGUCUCCAUAUGGGUGUGCUUUCGACUUGUACCAAGCUUCAUCCUUAGCCAUUCCUUACCAGGUCUCCCGGCCUUUUUGUACCGAGCCGACCCAUCCCAUCAGCAGCUCCAAUCAACAUAAUUAGCCAACCCAGACCCUUUCCCCAAUUCCAAUUUUCAACCUUAAAAGAGAUGGCUUUGAUGGCAGUGUUGGAGUCAGAUCUUCGAGCUUUAUCGGCAGAAGCUCGCAGGCGAUAUCCUGCCGUCAAAGAUGCUGCUGAACACGCUAUUUUGAAGUUAAGAUCGUUGUCGAGCCCCAGUGAGAUAGCACAUAACGAGGAUAUACUUAACAUAUUUUUGAUGGCCUGUGAAGUUAGGAAUGUAAAAAUGAGCGUCAUCGGACUUUCUUGUCUGCAAAAACUCAUUUCUCACGAUGUAGUUGCUACUUCAG
This 460-nucleotide unclassified non-coding RNA is filed under the name Hevea brasiliensis (rubber tree). The record is from RNAcentral. Lineage: Eukaryota; Viridiplantae; Streptophyta; Magnoliopsida; Malpighiales; Euphorbiaceae.